This 594-nucleotide long non-coding RNA is filed under the name Heterocephalus glaber (naked mole-rat). RNAcentral's name for it is "lncRNA (ENSHGLG00100047678.1)". The record is from RNAcentral. Lineage: Eukaryota; Metazoa; Chordata; Mammalia; Rodentia; Bathyergidae.
AGUUCCAUGCCCAUUACAGAGUGAAAGCAAAGACUGAAAACAUGAGCAGUUGACACCAAAGGCAGGUAAUCCCUGAACUCCAGUGGGAAGUUUGCUUAGCUACAGGGUGCGGUGUCCUGCCCAGCAUCAGCAGCACGGAGGCAGGAAGACAGGAGACUGGCUAGCCACAAAGGCCAGGACUUCUCAUCUCAAGUCUGACUCCCAGAAGCCACAGAAAAUGAAACUCCCCCCAAACCCCGGUCUUUGCCUCCAGAGUUGGGCCGCAGUGACCAGUGGUCAGCAGAAUUUCCAGCUCAUUGUCCACCUGCUGAGGAAAUGGAGGGAUCUCCGGGUGGUAGACUUAAUGUCACUGAAACACGCCUCAAGGAUCCCAGCUAAUUGGAGACCAGAUCCUUUUAGGAAGAUACGAAUGGAACUCUGAAAUUUAAACCAGUAUUACAAUGAUAUAGGGGAAAGAGAUAUAAACCUGCUAGAUAUCCAAAGCGCAAGUUUGUGUUCUCUAAAAUCAAAGAAUGAAUUCUAGGAACAACGGCGGGUAAGAGUAGGAAAAAUUUAUUGAGAGAAAGAUAGCUUCUGCCUAAGAGAGACAGAAGG